RNAcentral lists this ribosomal RNA (539 nucleotides) under Helvella crispa. RNAcentral's name for it is "eukaryotic LSU rRNA". It matches the Rfam family "Eukaryotic large subunit ribosomal RNA", at positions 65 to 641 of the family's 3401-position model. Lineage: Eukaryota; Fungi; Ascomycota; Pezizomycetes; Pezizales; Helvellaceae. The record is from RNAcentral.
CCAACAGGGAUUGCCCCAGUAACGGCGAGUGAAGCGGCAGGAGCUCAAAUUUGAAAUCUGGGGCCCCCGGCCUCCGAGUUGUAAUUUGGAGAGGCUCCUUCGGGGGGGAGCGCUGGCCCAUGUUCCUUGGAACAGGACGUCGCAGAGGGUGAGAAUCCCGUGCCAGGCCGGCUGCCUCCUCCCGCGUGAAGGGCCUUCGACGAGUCGAGUUGUUUGGGAAUGCAGCUCCAAGUGGGUGGUAAAUUUCAUCUAAAGCUAAAUACCGGCGGGAGACCGAUAGCGCACAAGUAGAGUGAUCGAAAGAUGAAAAGCACUUUGAAAAUAGAGUCAAAAAGUACGUGAAAUUGUUGAAAGGGAAGCGCUUGAGACCAGACUCAGACCCAGGCAAACACCGCGCCCCCAGGGGCCGUGCAAUUGCCCGGUGCUGGGCCAGCAUCAGUUGGCGUGGAGGGACAAGGGCGCGGGAAAUGUGGCUCCCCUCGGGGAGUGUUAUCAGGCCCGCGCCGGAUGCCGCCGACGCCGACUGAGGACCGCGCCUC